Molecule: long non-coding RNA, 1050 nt
Filed under: Homo sapiens (human)
Lineage: Eukaryota; Metazoa; Chordata; Mammalia; Primates; Hominidae
Description: HSALNT0358414
Source: RNAcentral
UGUAAUCCCAGCUACUCGGGAGGCUGAGGCAGGAGAAUGGCUUGAACCCGGGAGGUAGAGAUUGCAGUGAGCCGAGAUCAUGCCACUGCACUCCAGCCUGGCGACAGAGAGAGAUCCAUCUCAAAAAAAAAAAAAAAAAAAUUCAUGAAUUCGAUGUUUUGGAAGACUGUUUGUUUUUGGAAAUUUUCUAUGUAUGCAAUGACCCUUUUGAAGAAAUAUCCAGCCCACAGUCAAUGGACUGUUGCCAAUAAAUCAAAAUAAAUCACUGUAGGAAAGUGAUCUAUACACUUAAAAAAAAAAACUAAAUAUUGCUAAACAUUUCAAACCUAUUUUUUAAAUAUUCUAACUUUGUAGCUCUUAAGCAGUUUUAUUGGAUUUUUGAGAAAGGUACAACCAUACUUACAUAUUAUAAAUGAUAGCAGAAGGUAUUUAGCUACUAGCAUUAGAAGGCCGGGCAUGGUGGCUCAUGCCUGUAAUAUCAGCACUUUGGGAGGCUGAGGUGAGAGGAUGGUUUGAGCCCAGGAGCUUGAGACCAGCCUGGAUAGUAUAGCUAGACCUUGUCUCUAUUUACAAAAAAUUAAGAAAAAAAUUAGCUGAGAGUGAUGGUGCACGUCUGUAGUCCCAGCUACCCAGGAGGCUUAGGUGGGUAGAUCACUUGAGCCUGGGAAGCAGAGAUUGCAGUGAGCUGAGAUUGCACCACUGCACUCCAGGCUGGGUGACAGAGCAAAAACUCUGUCUCAAAAAAAAAAAAAAAAAAAAAAAAGGCCAUCUCAGUUGCCAAAUGGAAGAAAAUUCGUGUUCUGAUGUCAGUUAAUUUAAUCCCUUGUAGCCUGGGAACAUCUGUAUUUUGAAUGAUUUAGAAAGGAAUUUCAAAUAUCUGUAUUUAGAGAACUGUCUAAGCGAUGACAUCACUUUCAGUGGAAGUAAUAAUUUGUUCCAGCAUUUCAGCAAAUAGAAUUUUUUUGGCAAAAUAUUUUUGGAACUCCUUUAGUAUUUAAAAAACAUAAAACAGGCGGGGCAUGGUGGCUCACGCCUGUAAUCCCAGCACUU